UAUCCAGUGCAUCCCUCCGGCGCCACUACCACCCGUCGCCCCGCCGCCUUCGCCGCCAGUGUCGAUCUUUGGCAUGCCCGUCUCGGUCAUCCCAACUCCACCGUUAUGCGUCAGAUUCUUCAAAGUUUUUCUUUCUCAUGUAAUAAAGUCGACGAUCACUCUUGCGAGGCUUGCCGUCUUGGCAAGCACGUUCGUCUUCCCUUUAGUGCGUCUACAAACAUUUCCACCUUUCCGUUUCAGUUGUUGCAUAGUGAUGUUUGGACGUCCCCGGUUGCUAGCAACACGGGCUAUUUAUACUAUCUGGUGAUAUUGGAUGAUUUUACUCAUUAUGUGUGGACCUUCCCUCUCCGUCGCAAGUCCGACACUCUUGCCACACUCACCGCUUUUUAUUCAUAUGUCACCACACAGUUCGGUCGUCCUAUUCUCGCCUUGCAAACUGACAACGGCAAGGAGUUUGACAACGUCGCCGUCCGCAAUUUACUUGCGUCCCACGGCACCAUCUUUCGCCUCACCUGCCCCUACACGUCUCAGCAGAAUGGUCGCGCCGAGCGCGUCCUUCGCACGCUUAAUGACUGUGUCCGCACGUUGCUCUUCCACUCCUACGUGCCUCCUCGGUUCUGGCCGGACGCGCUCGCGACCGCCAGCCUCCUCAUUAACAUUCGCCCUUGUCGUUCCCGCUGGAACUACACCCCUCACCAGCUCCUCUUCGGUGCGGUUCCAUCUUAUGAUGGUCUUCGCAUUUUCGGGUGUCUCUGUUAUCCUAGCACCGCAUCCACUGCUCCUCACAAACUCGCACCCCGGUCCCUUCCUUGCAUCUUCCUUGGCUAUCCUCCCAACACCAAAGGUUACUGGUGCUAUGAUCCAGUCUCCCACCGCGUUUUCACUUCGCGGCAUGUGUACUUU
RNAcentral lists this ribosomal RNA (903 nucleotides) under Triticum aestivum (bread wheat). Its description in RNAcentral is "partial small subunit ribosomal RNA". The record is from RNAcentral. Lineage: Eukaryota; Viridiplantae; Streptophyta; Magnoliopsida; Poales; Poaceae.